This 425-nucleotide ribosomal RNA is filed under the name uncultured bacterium. RNAcentral's name for it is "partial 16S ribosomal RNA". It matches the Rfam family "Bacterial small subunit ribosomal RNA", at positions 354 to 796 of the family's 1533-position model. The record is from RNAcentral.
GUUAGGAAUAUUGGACAAUGGGCGCAAGCCUGAUCCAGCCAUGCCGCGUGAACGAUGAAGGCCUUCGGGUUGUAAAGUUCUUUAGCCGAUGAUUAUAAUGACUGUAGUCGGAAAAUAAGCCCCGGCUAACUUCGUGCCAGCAGCCGCGGUAAUACGAAGGGGGCGAGCGUUAUUCGGAAUCACUGGGCGUAAAGCGUGCGUAGGCGGUCUCGUAAGUUAGGAGUGAAAGCCCAGGGCUCAACCUUGGAAUUGCUCUUAAAACUGCAAGGCUAGAAUCUCGGAGAGGAUAGCGGAAUUUCCAGUGUAGCAGUGAAAUGCGUAGAUAUUGGAAGGAACACCAGUGGCGUAAGCGGCUAUCUGGACGAGUAUUGACGCUGAGGCACGAAAGCGUGGGGAUCAAACAGGAUUAGAAACCCUGGUAGUCC